RNAcentral lists this long non-coding RNA (847 nucleotides) under Nicotiana benthamiana. RNAcentral's name for it is "long non-coding RNA (NBEN_LNC015070)". The record is from RNAcentral. Lineage: Eukaryota; Viridiplantae; Streptophyta; Magnoliopsida; Solanales; Solanaceae.
CCUUAGAAACCCAUCACUUUAAUUUCAAAUGAAAUAAGUAACAACACAAGGCAGACUAUCGAAUGAAACAGUUAAGUGUGUCAAACUAAACUAAACCAUAAACUUAAACACUUAUUUUGAAGAUUUAAGCCUAAGCUCAAUGCUAAAAUUUCUAACAAAUAUAUGAAACAACAAAACAAGAUCAGUGAGAGGCACUAAAAGAGGAAAGCAGACUAGAUAACGCGCCUAAAGUCAUGUAAAAUUAGGUUAAUUAUGACCCAUUAAAUACAUGAAAGUUAGGAAUAACCCUGAAAUUUCUUUCAACUAAUAAAAUUCCAGCAGUUACACGGACUGAAACAAAGAGACCAUUGCGACCAGAACUCAAUGCGACGAUCAUCAAACUGGGAGCCUCGAACACUAGACUGUUUCUCGGAUCUGAGCUUAACCGGACCGCCUCACAGAUAUGGAGAUGUGAACAGAAAAACUAAUAGAACUCAUGCCCUCGCUUUUGAGUAGAAGAACAAGAACAGUUCUCUGUGUAUGGGUGUGUUUCUGACGAUAUGUGUGACAGGGUGGUGUUUGCUGUGGCAUGGAAGCUUUUCCGAUGUUAGAGGUAUGUGGUUUCGGUUUGUGGAAUAGAGGUCCAAAAUAUCAUAUGCUUGGAUUAGGUCUGAUUUGGGAAUUGCAGCUUGUUCGUCCUGUGUCUGUAGAAGAUGAAAAUUACAGAGUAGGGUUUUUUUUUUUGUAAAAGAUGCGCUUCUCUCCGCUUUGUAGUCUAGGUUUUUAGGAUAAAAGAAUAAGGGUUUGGGUAUAGGGUCGGGUUGGAUCGACCCGGUUUGGUUUGGGUUGGGAAAAACUUGGGUUUCUA